RNAcentral lists this long non-coding RNA (297 nucleotides) under Homo sapiens (human). RNAcentral's name for it is "non-protein coding lnc-C8orf59-9:2". Lineage: Eukaryota; Metazoa; Chordata; Mammalia; Primates; Hominidae. The record is from RNAcentral.
UACCAUGUGAAAGGAGGAAUGACUGUCAUGGCAUGAAAAAAGCAUCACUAUGAAAAAGAAAACUCAGUAGAAGAUAAUGGCAAGUCCAGACUGGGGAUAUGAUGACAAAAAUGGUAAGAGUUCUCCUGUUUAUAUAGAUCAAAAUGAUAACUUGUUCCCAUUUCCAACAGAAAAGAUAUUAAGUAUUUAAAAUAAUUGUACAGCUAUAGGUUAAUUGUUGAACUGUCUGCUUUAAAUAAUUAUACUAUCUUUGCAUGUAUUCUUAGCAUUGUCUUUUGGGGCAUGGCUGACUACAAA